GCUACGAUCAGUAGCUGGUCUGAGAGGAUGAUCAGCCACACUGGGACUGAGACACGGCCCAGACUCCUACGGGAGGCAGCAGUUAGGAAUCUUGCGCAAUGGGCGAAAGCCUGACGCAGCCAUGCCGCGUGAAUGAUGAAGGUCUUAGGAUUGUAAAAUUCUUUCAGUGGGGAAGAUAAUGACGGUACCCACAGAAGAAGCUCCGGCUAACUUCGUGCCAGCAGCCGCGGUAAUACGAAGGGGGCUAGCGUUGCUCGGAAUUACUGGGCGUAAAGGGCGCGUAGGCGGAUGACUAAGUUGGGGGUGAAAGCCCGGGGCCCAACCUCGGAACUGCCUUCAAAACUGGUCAUCUUGAGUUCGGGAGAGGUGUGUGGAACUCCAAGUGUAGAGGUGAAAUUCGUAGGUAUUCGGAAGAACACCAGUGGCGAAGGCGACACACUGGCCCGAUACUGACGCUGAGGCGCGAAAGCGUGGGGAGCA
This 480-nucleotide ribosomal RNA is filed under the name uncultured bacterium. RNAcentral describes it as "bacterial SSU rRNA". It matches the Rfam family "Bacterial small subunit ribosomal RNA", at positions 273 to 770 of the family's 1533-position model. The record is from RNAcentral.